This 324-nucleotide long non-coding RNA is filed under the name Junco hyemalis (dark-eyed junco). RNAcentral's name for it is "lncRNA (ENSJHYG00000007751.1)". Lineage: Eukaryota; Metazoa; Chordata; Aves; Passeriformes; Passerellidae. The record is from RNAcentral.
CUGUCUGCUGGGAAGAGGAUAAGGUAUGAGUUUGAAAACUUCUGGCUAGAGGACAGGAUGUGAUCCCAGGACUUCUGAUUCUUCCAAUGUAUCUGUGAUGGAUAGAGAAUGAAGCAGGCCUGUGUCACAUACAAAGCAGGAAGAAGUGGAGUAGUCUUGGGGUUAAGGAAUUCCACACAGGGAAUUGAAAUCGGAUUUCUGCGAAGUCAGCUGAAGUCAAUAAAACCUGCAGAUGUGGGGCUGCUCUGAGAAUUCAAGGUCUUGGGUGGUUGGCACUGUACAUUGAGUACCAGAGGUGAAGAAAGAAAGUCUUAAAAUGUCUGA